RNAcentral lists this ribosomal RNA (384 nucleotides) under uncultured bacterium. RNAcentral describes it as "bacterial SSU rRNA". It matches the Rfam family "Bacterial small subunit ribosomal RNA", at positions 29 to 414 of the family's 1533-position model. The record is from RNAcentral.
AUUGAACGCUGGCGGCAUGCCUUACACAUGCAAGUCGAACGGCAGCACGGGAGCAAUCCUGGUGGCGAGUGGCGAACGGGUGAGUAAUAUAUCGGAACGUGCCCGGUCGUGGGGAUAACGUAGCGAAAGCUACGCUAAUACCGCAUACGAUCUACGGAUGAAAGCGGGGGGAUCGCAAGACCUCGCGCGAUUGGAGCGGCCGAUAUCAGAUUAGGUAGUUGGUGAGGUAAAGGCUCACCAAGCCGACGAUCUGUAGCUGGUCUGAGAGGACGACCAGCCACACUGGGACUGAGACACGGCCCAGACUCCUACGGGAGGCAGCAGUGGGGAAUUUUGGACAAUGGGCGCAAGCCUGAUCCAGCAAUGCCGCGUGCAGGAUGAAGG